AAGUGAGGCAGCAGCAAGGAAUAUUGGCCAAUGGGCGAAAGCCUGACCCAGCGACACCGCGUGGGGGAAGAAGGUUCUCGGAUCGUAAACCCCUUUUCUCAGGGAAGAUAAUGACGGUACCUGAGGAAUAAGUCUCGGCCAACUACGUGCCAGCAGCCGCGGUAAUACGUAGGAGGCGAACGUUAUCCGGAUUUACUGGGCGUAAAGGGAGCGUAGGCGGUUGCUUAAGUCGGGUGUGAAAUCUCCUGACUCAAUCAGGAGGGGUCAUCCGAUACUGGGCAACUCGAGGGCGGCAGAAGGAAACGGAAUUCCGAGUGUAGCGGUGAAAUGCGUUGAUAUUCGGAAGAACACCAGUGGCGAAGGCGGUUUCCUAGGCUGUUCCUGACGCUGAGGCUCGAAAGCGUGGGGAGCGAAGCGGAUUAGAUACCCGCGUAGCCCACGCCGCAACAC
This 450-nucleotide ribosomal RNA is filed under the name uncultured bacterium. RNAcentral's name for it is "bacterial SSU rRNA". It matches the Rfam family "Bacterial small subunit ribosomal RNA", at positions 341 to 808 of the family's 1533-position model. The record is from RNAcentral.